AUAUUUUGGAAGGAGACUACCCUCCCCAUAACCCUUUCCCAUCAAAGGGACUUCUUCAUUUAAAACAUUCUUUAAAUGAUUUUAAAUGAUUAAAUUAUCUUUUUUUGUUUUUUUCACCAAGUCCAUGCAACUGCAGAGCAGGAUCAUGUACAGAGAGGGAUAAAGGUAUUCUUUCAGAUGUGCUGUAUUCAAUGGUUUGACAAGAAUCUGCAGCUUGGACUAGAUGCCAACAGCACUGUUAGACCAACAGGAAGAGGAAAAGCAGCUUCAAACUGAUGCACAGAUAGCACAGACGUUUCUACAGAGAAAGGAUCCCAAAACAGAUACAGCUACCUUUCAGGACGGAGCAGCCAAGGACACACGGUAAAAAGCUGCAGAGUUGGAGGAGUGACACAAACCUGUUGAGCGACUCUUCCUCCCUCCUGCUCGGCUGCCGGGGAGUGGGACACUUGUUUCUUGCGCACAGGGGUUUUGAUCUUUUUGCAUCGGCAUCCGCUUCCUCCAUCUACAAAGGCCAUGAAAGAGAAUGAGUAAUUCAUCUAUCUGUGUGCAAGUGAGUGUGCAUCUGUGUGUGUGUGUUCGGUUUGACCUAUUUCUGCUUCACUGACAUGAGGCUGGCAUUUCAUGCUCACCGGUAUUACUGCAGUCACGGGCAAACAGUUGCAUAAGCCACUUGAUUUCCACACUUCCACAAAGAUAAUGUUCAUAGUUUUUUCGAGUAAAUAAUGUUUUUGCAGAUUUUACUUAUUCAUAAAAAGUCCUGUGAACAUGCCUUUAGAUGGGCCUAAAGUCCAGUCACACACAAACAUAAGAGGUUCGAUUGUUGCUAGUGUUGUUCAGCAUUCUGCACAAGGUGCCUUUUGCAGUUUUACUUAAUUUUGUAUAUUUUGUCAUCUUUUUACACACAUAAAUAUGUUUGUGAAAGAAAUAGCAUGAAUAAAUAAUCAGAAAGAACAAAGUAAAGAAACAAAAUGAGAGGAAGGUAACCUGCUUCUAUUCGGGUAAAGAAAAAUAAGUUUUAAAAAAAUAUGAAUAAAAUGAAUAAAAGAUGACUGUGAAUUGGUGCAAAUAUUUCAAAAUGGCUUCCAGCUUCGGAAUAAAAAAAAACAGCUAUGAAAAUUACAACACUUAUUAUACAGUCUAAAAUGUGUAAUACAGAAAACACCUGCAUCACAAUUAUGAAGGAAAUAUAAAUAAAUAAUGAGCGGAAAACAUCUUGAUUCAUGUUUUGGCCAUCUGAGUCUCACACACACACACACAUGCACACACACACAUGUAGCCAGCUCCUCACCUUGAGAAGAGGAAAGAGG
This 1310-nucleotide long non-coding RNA is filed under the name Scophthalmus maximus (turbot). Its description in RNAcentral is "lncRNA (ENSSMAG00000025281.1)". The record is from RNAcentral. Lineage: Eukaryota; Metazoa; Chordata; Actinopteri; Pleuronectiformes; Scophthalmidae.